UGGGGAAUAUUGCACAAUGGGCGCAAGCCUGAUGCAGCCAUGGCGCGUGUAUGAAGAAGGCCUUCGGGUUGUAAAGUACUUUCAGCGGGGAGGAAGGGAGUAAAGUUAAUACCUUUGCUCAUUGACGUUACCCGCAGAAGAAGCACCGGCUAACUCCGUGCCAGCAGCCGCGGUAAUACGGAGGGUGCAAGCGUUAAUCGGAAUUACUGGGCGUAAAGCGCACGCAGGCGGUUUGUUAAGUCAGAUGUGAAAUCCCCGGGCUCAACCUGGGAACUGCAUCUGAUACUGGCAAGCUUGAGUCUCGUAGAGGGGGGUAGAAUUCCAGGUGUAGCGGUGAAAUGCGUAGAGAUCUGGAGGAAUACCGGUGGCGAAGGCGGCCCCCUGGACGAAGACUGACGCUCAGGUGCGAAAGCGUGGGGAGCAAACAGG
Molecule: ribosomal RNA, 429 nt
Filed under: Chloroflexota bacterium
Lineage: Bacteria; Bacillati; Chloroflexota
Description: Chloroflexi bacterium partial 16S ribosomal RNA
Rfam family: Bacterial small subunit ribosomal RNA
Source: RNAcentral